CCUACGGGAGGCAGCAGUGGGGAAUAUUGCACAAUUGGGGAAACCCUGAUGCAGCGACGCCGCGUGAGUGAAGAAGGAUCUCGGUACGUAAAGCUCUAUCAGCAGGGAAGAAAAUGACGGUACCUGACUAAGAAGCCCCGGCUAACUACGUGCCAGCAGCCGCGGUAAUACGUAGGGGGCAAGCGUUAUCCGGAUUUACUGGGUGUAAAGGGAGCGUAGACGGCAGCACAAGUCAGGAGUGAAAUCCCCGGGCUUAACCCCGGAACUGCUUUGGAAACUGGGCGGCUGGAGUGCAGGAGGGGUAAGCGGAAUUCCUGGUGUAGCGGUGAAAUGCGUAGAGAUCAGGAGGAACACCGGUGGCGAAGGCGGCUUACUGGACUGUAACUGACGUUGAGGUGCGAAAGCGUGGGGAGCAAACAGGAUUAGAUACCCGGGUAGUC
This 440-nucleotide ribosomal RNA is filed under the name uncultured bacterium. RNAcentral's name for it is "partial 16S ribosomal RNA". It matches the Rfam family "Bacterial small subunit ribosomal RNA", at positions 338 to 795 of the family's 1533-position model. The record is from RNAcentral.